Molecule: unclassified non-coding RNA, 345 nt
Filed under: soil metagenome
Description: partial contains 5.8S ribosomal RNA, internal transcribed spacer 2, and large subunit ribosomal RNA
Rfam family: 5.8S ribosomal RNA (bases 1-120)
Source: RNAcentral
GAUGAAGAACGUAGCGAAAUGCGAUAAGUAAUGUGAAUUGCAGAAUUCCGUGAAUCAUCGAAUUUUUGAACGCACAUUGCGCCCCCUGGUAUUCCGGGGGGCAUGCCUGUCCGAGCGUCAUUGCUGCCCUCAAGCACGGCUUGUGUGUUGGGCCUCCGUCCUCCUCCCGGGGGACGGGCCCGAAAGGCAGCGGCGGCACCGCGUCCGGUCCUCGAGCGUAUGGGGCUUCGUCACCCGCUCUUGUAGGCCCGGCCGGCGCUUGCCGACACAUCAAUCUUUUUUCCAGGUUGACCUCGGAUCAGGUAGGGAUACCCGCUGAACUUAAGCAUAUCAAUAAGCGGAGGA